CACGUAGGGGGCAAGCGUUGUCCGGAAUCAUUGGGCGUAAAGCGCGCGUAGGCGGCCCGGUAAGUCCGUUGUGAAAGUCAAAGGCUCAACCUUUGAAUGCCGACGGAUACUGCCGGGCUAGAGUACGGAAGAGGCGAGUGGAAUUCCUGGUGUAGCGGUGGAAUGCGCAGAUAUCAGGAGGAACACCUAUAGCGAAGGCAGCUCGCUGGGACGUUACUGACGCUGAGGCGCGAAAGCGUGGGGAGCGAACAGG
RNAcentral lists this ribosomal RNA (253 nucleotides) under uncultured bacterium. RNAcentral's name for it is "partial 16S ribosomal RNA". It matches the Rfam family "Bacterial small subunit ribosomal RNA", at positions 524 to 776 of the family's 1533-position model. The record is from RNAcentral.